AUAUUUCGUAGGUGAACCUGCGGAAGGAUCAUUA
RNAcentral lists this ribosomal RNA (34 nucleotides) under Dactylellina cionopaga. RNAcentral's name for it is "partial 18S ribosomal RNA". Lineage: Eukaryota; Fungi; Ascomycota; Orbiliomycetes; Orbiliales; Orbiliaceae. The record is from RNAcentral.